UACACACAGCUUUUGGACGUACAUUUGACAACUUUGAAGAAAUGGAUACAUUCCUUGGAAGACACAAAGUAUGUAAUGAAGCUGACUCAGGAAGAAAAAAUUAGGGUAGCACCAUAUGUAUUAAAGAAGUUUACAUUCCUAGUUAAAAACCUUCUCACACAAACAAACCAAACCAAAGCCAAAAAGAAUUCCAAGCCCAUACAUGUUUUAACUGAUGAAUUCUAUCAAAUAUAUGAAAGAGAAAUAAUUCAGGAAGUAGAGGAAGAAGGAACACUUCCCACCUCAUUUUAGGAGGCUGCCAUUAUGCUAAUAUCAAAACAAGGUAAAGACAUUAGAAGACAAAACAAUGAACAAAAUAUCGUUCAUGAACAUAGAUGAAACAUUUGUUAACAAACCAUUGGUAGGUCCAGUCCAGCAGGAUGUAACACAUGGGUUUGUUCUAAGGGAUGCAAGUUUGGUUUAAAACCACAAAAUUCGCUUGCAUAAGGUAUCACUUUAUCAGGCAAAAAGGGAAAACUAUAUGAUUCUGUCAGCAGUUAUGGGAAAGAGCAAUUGUGAUGAAAUCUCCCAAAAUAUUUGGAAGAGAAGAGGAUUUUCUUAACCUGAUGAGAGACAUUGACACCUAACUCUAGCUGAAAUCCAUUCAGUGUCAAAAGAUGGAGGGUUUUCCUCCUAAGAUAGGACACAAGGCAAAUAUGCCCAUCUCCUGCCUCUAAUACGGUGAUGGAGGCCCUGGCCAGUGUAACAGGCAAUAAAAGAAACAAAUGGCAUACAGUAUGGCAAGGUAGAAACAAAAUAUCUUUAUUUGCAGCCAACAUGAUCAUGUGUAGAGAAAAUGCUAAGAAAUCUCCCAAAAGCCACUAGAAUUUGUCAGCAAGAUUGCAGGACACAAAGUCGAUAUACAUAUUCAGUUGUAUGUAUAUAUACCGGCAAUGAAACUUUAGAAAUUGAAAUUUAAAGUUUAUAUCAAAAUGCAGAAGACCUAAAAAGUUAAAAUAUUUACAAGAACAAUAUUAGAAGGUUUUUAGUACCCAAUUUCAAGACUUCCUCUGCAUUUUAAGCUGCUUCUUUAAAGCUACAGGAUCAAGGCAGUGUUGUCAUCCUAAGAUAGAUAGAUAUAUAUAUAUUCCAUUGAUAUAUAUAUAUAUCAAUGGAAUAGAUAUAUUAUCAAUGGAAUAGAAUAGAGAAUCCAGAAAUAGACCCACCCAUAUAUGGUCAGUUGAUUUCUGACAGUGGUGCCAAGUUAAUUCAAUGGGGAGAGGAUAGUCUUUUUAACAAAUAGCACUGGAACACCUGGAUAUUCAAAUGUAAAAAAAUUAACCUCAAUCCUUACUUCUGUGUGCAGAAAUAUCUUGAAAAGAAUCAUCAACCUAAAUAUAAAAGACUAAAACUAUGAAAUUUUAAGAAAAAAUUACAGGAGAAAAUAUUCAUGAACUUGGGUCUUAUAGCUCAUUAAUAAAGACGACCCAGUUAAGAAUCGAGGCACAAGAAAAUAAUGACUGGCUAGUGUAGCAAGGAGUUCAACAUCAUUAGACAUCAGAAAGAUGCAAAAAAUUCAAGUUCUUGCUGUGGCGCAGCGAGUUAAGGAUCCGGUGUUUUCUCUAUAGUGGCACAGGUUCAGUCCCUGGCCUGGCACAGUGGAUUAAAGAUCCUGUGUUGCUGCAUCCAUGGCUUAGGUCACAGCUGCUCACUUUUGAUUCCUGGCCUGGGAACUUCCGAAUGCUUCAGUGGCAUACUAUUUGGCAAUUAAAGAAGACAAAGUACUCAUACGUACAACAUGAACGAAUCUCAAAAACACACUGAGUUCAAUAAGCCAGACAUAAAAGAAUACCAACUCCAUGAUUCCAGUUACUGACCCUGAUUAUUAUACCAGAAAUGCCGGAAAAGACAAGUUUAAUCUGUAGUGACAAUAAGCAGGCAUGUUGUUUGCAAACCUUGGUGGGGCACAAGGGAACUUUUUGGUUUGAUUGAUGAAUUCUAGGUCCUGUCCAUGCUGGUUAUUAUAUGGAUAUAUAUAUGUUCAUAAAGUACAUUGAAAUGUACACUUAAAGAAUACACAUUGUAUAUAAACUAUACCUUAGGAAUGUUUUUUUUAAUUCCACAAAAUUUGAAAGUUAUUUUACUAACAGAAGAUUAACUUCUGUCUAGUAUUAGAAGACCUCUGUGUAAGGCUGAAACCUGAAACCUGAGUUGACCUGAGAAUUCCAUUUAGAUUAAUCAGUAUAUACAGUAUAAACAAUAAUACACGAAGUACGUCUUUAUUUUGUUUUAAUAAUAACCUUGUUUAUUAAAUUACUGCCUCUAAUAUUACAGGCCUUUAAAUAAGAGAGAUGAAUUCUCCAUGUGCUUAGCCUAUGAUGUGAUGUAUUGUAAUGGGAUCCUCACAUCCUUAGAAUUCAUUAAUGUACCUCUCUAAUUUUUUUUUUUUUUUGUCUUUUCUAGGGCCACACCCGUGGCAUAUGGAGGUUCCCAGGCUAGGGGUCUAAUCAGAGCUGUAGCUGCUGGCCUACGCCAGAGACACAGCCAGAUCCAAGCUGCGUAUGCAGCCUACACCACAGCUCAUGGCAAUGCCGAUCCUCAACCCGCUGAGUGAGGUCAGGGAUUGAACCCGCCACCUCAUAGUUCCUAGUUGGAUUUGUUAACCAUUGAGCCAUGACAGGCACUCCCUUUCUAGUUUUUAAACUGGUAUUUGGUAGUGACUUCAACAAGAUGCUAAGAAGAAACCAGCUAAAAUGAAGUAAUUGCAUAUAAUCUGCUCUUGGUCUUCUUUUAUUGUUCGAUUCAUUUUUUUAACUAGGAAGAACAUGUGGAAGGUACUCCAUUGUCCCUUAGAAUCUAUUCGUCCUUUUAGAAAUAGAACUCCUAGGUUUUAUCUGAGCACAUGCAUGGCCGCCCAGCUAGAAACUACAUUUCUCUGCUUCUUUUGCUGCAUGUAUGGCUUUAUGACCAAUGAGAGGUGACGGGAGAUCUAUAGAAGGUUACCUCAUUAAGGACAAGCCACUUGCCCUAGACUUUCUCUUUUUCCUUUCUGCUGGCUGGGAUGUCACAUCAGGUAUAGCAGCUACCUUGGGUCCAGAGGUGGAAGCCAUGUGGAACCUGAUGGAGCCAGCCUGGUUUCCCAAAUGGUCUUGUGACACAUCCCUGUCCCCACAUUGUAACUUGAAAAAGAAAUAUUUCCGACUUUGGCUACUAUAUAUUUUUUUUAGUCUUUUUGUUAUGGCAGAAAGUAUAUUACCUAAUGAAAAAUGGAAGCUAUUUAAGAUUUUUUGAGUUUUUUUCUGUGUCCUGUUUGGCCAUAGCCAGUGUAGUGUGGUGUGUACCCACAAUUAAAAUAAUUUCUAAAAUAGCAUCUGAUUUCAUGCCAAGAGUUCUCUUGGAUCCACUUUCUUUAGGAGAGUGUUUCUGAAAUUUACAAGUUACUUUUACACUUUAGCUACUAAUUAUUAAUGAAUCAAUACACAGCAUUCCACUUUUCUAAUUUUUAGAUGUCUUUAUGGACUAAUGUAUGAUCAGUUUUGGUAAAGCUCUACAGCUCUUUUUUUUAAUUUUAUUUUUAUUAGAAUAUGGUUGAUUUAUAGUGUCAUGUCAAUUCCUGCUGUGUAACAUAGUGACCAAGUCGCACGUAUACAUACAUUCUUCAAAAUAAUGCCAUUUGCAGCAACAUGGAUGCAACUGGAGAUUCUCAUACUAAGUGCAGUAAGUCGGAAAGAGAAAGACAAAUACCAUAUGAUACCACUUAUGUGUGGAAUCUAAAAUAUGGCACAAGUGAUCCUGCUUACAAAACAGAAACAAAUUCCCAGACAUGUAAAAUCAUAGAACUUUUUAAAGAAGUUUCUUUAAGGAGUUCCUGUUGUGGCUUAGUGGGUUAACAACCUAAUAGUAUCCAUGAGAAUAUGGGUUCCAUUCCUGGCUUCGCUCAGUGGAUUAAGGAUAAGAUGUUGCUGUGAGCUGCAGUGUAGUUAGCAGAUGUGUCUCGGACCCCAUGUUGCUCUGGUUGUGGUGUAGGCCGGCAGCUGCAGCUCUGAUUUGACCCCUAGCCUGGGAAUUUCCAUAUGCUGCAGGCAAAAAAAAAUUUGCCUUCUUUGUAAGGUACCAAAAUAUUUAUUAUAUUUUCAACUUCUCUGUAAUUAUUUUUGUCUAUCGGAAGCUUAAAGAUAUGAAUCAUUUAUUUCUUCCAUUAAUUUUUCUUUAUAUUGUUUUUGUUUUGGUAUGUGUGUUCAUGUAUUAUUUAUUGUCAAUAUCUCAAUUGAGGAUUAUACCUUUUAUCAAAAUAAUACGACUUUUUUCUUUAUGCCUUGUGCUUUGUGUUUUAGCUGACAUUAAUAUUGCUGCCUUAGUUUAUAUUUCCUUAUAUGUCUGUGUACUUAUAUUUGUAUCUAAAUAUGAUAUAUAUUUAUAUAUGGUAUAUAAAUCAUAAAAGGUAUGGAAGACUUUCUUUUUUGUUGUUUUUUUUGUUUGUUUGUUUGUUUUUAAGAGCCACACCUGUGGCAUAUGGCAGUUUCCAGGCUAGGGGUCAAAUCAGAGCUGCCUCUGCACUACACCACAGCCACUGCAAUGUGGGAUCUGAGCCACUUCUGCGACCUACACCACAGUUCACGGCAAUGCCGAUCCUUAACCCACUGAUUGAGGCCGGGGUGGAACCCGUGUCCUCAUGGAUACUAGUUGGAUUCAUUACUGCUGAGCCACAACGGGAACUCCUCUUUCUCAUAUUUUUUAAAAUGGGUAAUUAUGUAGCUGGACUCCCAAGACAUAGGGAGUGAGGUGAAACUGAGAACAGUCUGUCCAGGGUUGUGGGUCAGGGUGAAGUUCUUGGCAACAGACUCAUUAAAAUGAGUGUGGAGUGUGGAAAGCAGAUGGGUGGAGGAGGCAGGAAGACCGUUAUUCUUGCUUUGGUUCUGUUUUUCUUUGUGACCACGACAAACCUCUCAACUUUCCAGGGCCUCCGGCUCGAUCUUAAAUGAGGAGGAGGCCUCUCCAAGAUCCUUUCCAACUUUAAAAUUCUGUGCCUCACCAGGGACAGCAGGGAAGUUUCCAUUUGACAGCAUUUUUAUUUUUAAUUUCAUUUAAGCAAAGAAGUCAGCUUCAUUUCAUCUUGCAAGUCAGGAGGAAUAAAUCACUCCUCUUACUACCUUGAGUAAGGAGAAUUCGAAGAAGGGCUCACAUGUGACCCGCGUGUUUAUGCCCCGACCUAAUAUUAGUAAGUGACACAUGUCGUGGUGGAGUGUCCCAGUUUUAACACCUGGAAGUAAUCUGGUCAUAGAAUGACUCAGAGGAACGUUAAAUCACUGCUUUUCCCCGAGAACACUAAGAAGGAUAUUGCUCUAGACUCGCAGAAACUUCUUACCUAUUGCCCUGAACUGCAUGUAGGUCUUGAGACGGAGGGUCCUGGGAGGGAGGCCCGCUGUGCAGCCUUCAGCCAGGCAUCCGACUCUUUCAUUGAUGAGCUCCUGAGUGGGAGAAAGGCUGCCAGCCCUGAAUUCAUGUUUCACAAGCUCAGCAACAGGCGGCCACCCAAACUGGCUUUUUGUCAUGAGCUGAGCUGGGCACGGUCACAGGCAGGGAGGGCAGAGAGGGUUUUUCAGAUAAUGAACAUUGUCGCACUUAUGAAAGAGCCAGGAAAGAGUGCUGACUGAAUGAAAUCUGUGCAGCAGGCCGAGAACACCACUUUUUUUGAAGAAGGGCUUUGUUCUGGCUCCAUUGUGGAGGAUGAUUCUGGACAAUGACUCCAUCCAGAGCAGCCUGAAAAAAAAAAAAGAUUGUUGCUUCUCUUCUUGGUAGCCAUCACCUUGAGAACUAAAAAGUCACUGGAAGGUUUUAUUUCCCACUCUACGGAGAGCUUCCGGGGGCAGAAAGGAGAGAGAGACAAUUGUUUCAUUUCAGAAAUGCAUUUUGUUUCAGGAAAGAAAGCCAUGCCACGUGUAAG
This 5923-nucleotide long non-coding RNA is filed under the name Sus scrofa (pig). RNAcentral's name for it is "lncRNA (ENSSSCG00000062128.1)". The record is from RNAcentral. Lineage: Eukaryota; Metazoa; Chordata; Mammalia; Artiodactyla; Suidae.